Long non-coding RNA from Triticum dicoccoides, 540 nucleotides. RefSeq lists it as uncharacterized. Lineage: Eukaryota; Viridiplantae; Streptophyta; Magnoliopsida; Poales; Poaceae. The transcript has 3 exons. The record is from RefSeq and is a predicted model, not a curated record.
UCCUGCAUUAUGAUAAAUAAAAUAAGUACUUGUAAAAAAACAACAUAUUGCAAAAAGAAAACUGUUCAAAAUAAUUGGUAUAAGCAUUGUUUUUUUGCCAAGAUAAAGCACAUUCAUUUGGUAAUCAUGCAAAUGGCAAGCAAGAUUUGUUGAGUUUCUUCUUCAUUUACAUUGGUAAAAUGAUACCAGAAAGGCAUAAAGUGAGACAUGCCUUCGAACAUUAAGUUUUAGCUAUCCAAAGUACUACAGAAAGUACGGAAUAUGGUACAGUUUUACAAAAAAAACUUUUCAUCAAACAAUUUCCCUUAGUGCAGCUCGACGGCUAGCUGUUUGAAAAGGGAGGGACAGAUAUUAUGUGGGGCCAGACCUACAGGAGGGCCACGGCUGUAACUUAAGGGGCAGGUUGAGCAUUUUUCUGAAACUUCUAUGCACAGGGAAGACUAGCCUUAGUCUGAAACUGGGAGGAGCAAGUGAAUUAAACGCUCAAGGCCAGCAGCAGCAAGCCACAAAGGCAAGCAGCAUCGGCAAGCAAAACAACCA